UCAGCCGCAUUUUUAAUCUGCUAAUGAGAUCCUGAAAUAUUUAAAAACCACAGAGGAAGGAUUAAUGCUGGUGAAAUAGUUCAAAAAGAGAGCCCUUGUCUUGCAGAUCUCCCUUUGAAGGCUGGAGACCAGGCUGCCUGCAGCAAUGGAAUUCCCUGCUUCCCAAUCUGAGCAAGGGCAGAAGAAAGGAGGAGGGGAAAAAAAAUCCUGCUAGGAAACAUGUUUCACAAUCCUCUGCGGCGAGCGGCACAAGCUUCUCCGAGAGGAUCUGCGAGGGUGGAGAGCAGCCAGUCGUCCAAAUGCGAGGAGGAGGCCGGGUGCCAGGAGACAGGGAGGCCAGAGGAAUGCCUGGAGGCAGCCUGGCCAUAUGCUUGCGGUAAAAACCUCCAGGUCAGGAUCAGGCUCGUGUCCAGGAACAGCGAACUUCAGAAGGUGGUACUUGUUAUUGCCCGACCGAUGGCCUCUGGCUCCUGCAAACGUCGCUGUCGGGAUAAUGUUCUGCCUUAGGCUGGUUGUUGCAAUAGGAAAUGAGGGGGGAAAAGAGAUUUUUGAAAUUAAUAGGGCCCAGAUCGAGCGGCAAUCAGCGCUUGGAUUUUCUGUUUUUGCAAAGAAACCAUUCAGAAGUCCGUAUAUUUGGUACAGCAAAGUGUAUGCUGCAACUGUAUUGUACCCUUGCAGAUACUUCUGAGUGACUGCAGAGUUUCACACUUCAGAUUGAAUCUGUUUACACAGAUAUACAAAAUGCAACAGGAGCAAGUUAUCAGAGCGCUAUUAAAAAAGUAU
This is a long non-coding RNA of Pipra filicauda (Wire-tailed manakin), 783 nucleotides long. RefSeq lists it as uncharacterized. The transcript has 3 exons. The record is from RefSeq and is a predicted model, not a curated record. Lineage: Eukaryota; Metazoa; Chordata; Aves; Passeriformes; Pipridae.